ACGUAGGGUGCGAGCGUUAAUCGGAAUUACUGGGCGUAAAGCGUGCGCAGGCGGUUGUGCAAGACAGAUGUGAAAUCCCCGGGCUCAACCUGGGAACUGCAUUUGUGACUGCACGACUGGAGUGCGGCAGAGGUGGAUAGAAUUCCUGGUGUAGCGGUGAAAUGCGUUGAUAUCAGGAGGAAUACCGACGGCGAAGGCAGUCCACUGGGAGUCUACUGACGCUGAGGAGCGAAAGCGUGGGUAGCAAACAG
Molecule: ribosomal RNA, 251 nt
Filed under: uncultured prokaryote
Description: partial 16S ribosomal RNA
Rfam family: Bacterial small subunit ribosomal RNA
Source: RNAcentral